AGUUUCUCUGCACGACGAAGCUCUGCUCUCGGUUACGUAACGGCUUGGUGUGUUGGCCGCUCACUGAGGCAUGAUGGGAAGGCUAUAAAUAAAGACUCAUCCUCAUCAGACGGAGCAAAAUAAACCCGGUAUGAUUCAGAGAAUCCCUGCAUGUCCCUGAACGCAGCAUAAGGUGAUGCUAACCGCGCUGCUCCUUCACUUCCGGUUCGGUUCCGUUACAGAACAAUGGGCUCUGAUGUGGUGACUAACCUGCCUCACUUUCUCCAGACACCUGUAAGCGGAGCUUUACGUCACGCCUGACUUUUAUUGAAGUGAUAAUCAGUCAGUUGGACCGGAAGCGGAAUCUUGUGAGUGAAAGCCGCCAUUUUAGCUGCGGGCUGCCGCUUGGAGAAGAACCGGUUUACCGACAGCAGCAUCCAGAAACGACCAGAGCUGCUGCUGUACCUUCGAUGGAGAGCUGCUCGAUGGCGCGGCGCUCGCCGCGGCUGCAGUGCGGUGGCAAGCAGAAACCACGGAUGCUCCUCCCGGUCCGAACCCGAGAGCUCAACACGUAGUUUGGGUCCAGGUCGUCUCCACCCUGAACACAGAAAGACAAAGGUUACCAGAUGAGUCCAACAUCAGGAAGUACCGAUUCAGCACCACGGACAGCGAACACAACCAGAACCAGGUUGGUUCUGAACAAGGUUAGUUCUCGGAGUUCACCUGCAGGUUUUCUGCGUUCAGGUCCGUCUUGUGUUUGUCUGACGGUUUGUAUCCUCCGUGACGGUCCUCGAUCACGGGGUCCAUCAGGUCCUUGAACACAUCGUACGUCUCCUCGUCUCCGGCCACGCAGCCCACCGUCAUGAUGAAGGGGUGACCUGCAGGGAGACACCGGGGGACAGAAAACUGAAACCUCAGCUUUGCUCUUGGUUUGACUUUCUGCAGCUGAACGUGAUGAUUCUGGAUGUGAAGAAGAGGAUCAGCAGAUCAGACAGGAAGCAGUGGCUCCGCCCUCGGUGGGGAAUUAACGAGCAGAAAUAACUCGAGCUAUCAAGUCAAUCCAAUUAGGAAGGAAUUAAUGAACAGCAGCAGAAGUGCAGGAUGGAUAAACAGUCUGAUGCACCUCCAGUCCAAAGCCUGCAGGAUCUGGACUCUGACGAGGUUCUGACCCGGGGGAGCGUUCAGGUGUUUGAGGUUCGUCUCAAACAGUAGACCUGCUCAGGACUCAUCGGCCCCCCGCAGCCCCCAGAGGAGCCGCCCCUGCGACGUGGUUCUGGGUGACUUGAGUCUCCUGAGAAGCAGGAACCAAUCGUCUGGCUCCAGGUGAGACCGACCUGGGUUGUCGACGCCGGUCUGGAUGACGUCGUCCAGGGUGAAGCCGCUGGGCGUCUCCUUGUCGCGCAGCUGGGCGUACAUCUCCAGCGUCA
Long non-coding RNA from Poeciliopsis prolifica (blackstripe livebearer), 1406 nucleotides. RefSeq lists it as uncharacterized. Lineage: Eukaryota; Metazoa; Chordata; Actinopteri; Cyprinodontiformes; Poeciliidae. The transcript is spliced from 4 exons. The record is from RefSeq and is a predicted model, not a curated record.